This 240-nucleotide unclassified non-coding RNA is filed under the name soil metagenome. Its description in RNAcentral is "partial contains 5.8S ribosomal RNA, internal transcribed spacer 2, and large subunit ribosomal RNA". The record is from RNAcentral.
AACGCACGAGACCUGCGGACCUGCGGAAGGAUCAUUACAGAGUUGCAAAACUCCCUAAACCAUUGUGAACGUUACCUAAACCGUUGCUUCGGCGGGCGGCGCGCCCUCGCGCGCGCCCCUGGGCCCCACCGCGGGCGCCCGCCGGAGGUCACCAAACUCUUUGAUAUUAAUUGGCCUCUCUGAGUCUUCUGUACUGAAUAAGUCAAAACUUUUAGCAACGGAUCUCUAGAUCGGAAGAGC